RNAcentral lists this ribosomal RNA (446 nucleotides) under uncultured bacterium. RNAcentral's name for it is "partial 16S ribosomal RNA". It matches the Rfam family "Bacterial small subunit ribosomal RNA", at positions 338 to 795 of the family's 1533-position model. The record is from RNAcentral.
CCUACGGGGGGCAGCAGUCGAGAAUUAUUCACAAUGGGGGAAACCCUGAUGGGGCGACGCCGCGUGGGGGAAUGAAGGUCUGCGGAUUGUAAACCCCUGUCAUGUGGGAGCAAAUUAAAAAGAUAGUACCACAAGAGGAAGAGACGGCUAACUCUGUGCCAGCAGCCGCGGUAAUACAGAGGUCUCAAGCGUUGUUCGGAAUCACUGGGCGUAAAGCGUGCGUAGGCUGUUUCGUAAGUCGUGUGUGAAAGGCGCGGGCUCAACCCGCGGACGGCACAUGAUACUGCGAGACUAGAGUAAUGGAGGGGGAACCGGAAUUCUCGGUGUAGCAGUGAAAUGCGUAGAUAUCGGGAGGAACACUCGUGGCGAAGGCGGGUUCCUGGACAUUAACUGACGCUGAGGCACGAAGGCCAGGGGAGCGAAAAGGAUUAGAUACCCCAGUAGUC